UCUAACGCAACAGUUCUAGUGCAACGUUUAUGACCGUUGCGUUAGGUAUCUAUGGGGGUGGUUUUACAACGCUUUGACAACGGUUUACAAAAACCGCUUCGCUAGACCCAAUAAUUUUGAUUUGGGCCGAUUUUAUAGGCUGGUUUGGGCUUAACACUGAAACGAAAUCUCUUUUUUUUUCUCACCGCUUUACCAAAUAUCCCUCUUUCUCUCUCACUCAACUCAUCACCCCUUUCUAAAAUCUCCCUCUUCGUUCGCUCUGAGAGAUCGCCAUGGCCGAAAUUCGUCGAUCUCAUCGCUUAACUCGUCGCUAAUCUCUUCGCCGUUUUUCGAUCUCAUCGUCUCCGAUCUCAACUCUGAUUUCGUCGUCGAUCUCGUAACUAAUCUCUUCGUCAAGCUGCUGGUCUCGUCUCCGAUCUCAUCUCCGAUAUAGGUCGUCGAGCUCGCAGCUAAUCCGUCUCCGAUCUCACUCUCCUUUGGACUCUCAGCUAAUCCGUCUCCGAUCUCAUCUCCGACCAUUUCUCGCAGGCACAAGACGAGAUUACAUAUUGGACAGCUAGUGAAAGAUACAUCAGCAAAGCUUAAACAAGGUAGUGAAAACGAUCACCGUGUUGAAGUUAGCUGAGCAAGAAAAAUAAGAAAGAGAGCUACCAAGAAGAGUUAGAAGAGCGUUUAAUCUCGUUGAUUACAUCAUUAUUUGACCAUAUAAUAAAUGGCGGAAAACAGAGAUUGGAUGUAUAAUGCUCCUAGAGUGAGUGUGGAGUUCAUUAAUAAUGUCAAUGACUUUCUUGAGAGAGCAUUUGCUAAUGGAGCAGUAGGGGAUGAAAUAU
This is a long non-coding RNA of Asparagus officinalis (garden asparagus), 830 nucleotides long. RefSeq lists it as uncharacterized. NCBI's taxonomy places the organism in Eukaryota, Viridiplantae, Streptophyta, Magnoliopsida, Asparagales, Asparagaceae. The transcript has 4 exons. The record is from RefSeq and is a predicted model, not a curated record.